GAUGAACGCUGGCGGCGUGCCUAAUACAUGCAAGUCGAGCGAACGGACGAGAAGCUUGCUUCUCUGCUGUUAGCGGCGGACGGGUGAGUAAACCUUGGCUAACCUACCUAUAAGACUGGGAUAACUUCGGGAAACCGGAGCUAAUACCGGAUCAUAUUUGGCACCACUUGGUUCAAAAGAGCCAGACGCUCUUGCUGUCACUUAUCGAUGAAUCCGCGCUGCAUUAGCUAGUUGGUAAGGUAACGGCUUACCAAGGCAACGAUGCAUAGCCGGCCUGACAGGGGGAUCGGCCACACUGGAACGGAGACGGGGACCAGACUCCGAGGGGAGGCAGCAGGAGGGAAACUGGCGCAAUGGGCGAAAGCCUGACGGAGAAACGGCGCGAGAGAGAUGAAGUGCUGCGGAUCGUAAAACGCGGUGAAUAGGGAAGAACAGAUGUGGAAGGAACUGUGCACAUCGAGGCGGUACCUAAGCAGAAAGCCACGGCUAACUACGUG
This 497-nucleotide ribosomal RNA is filed under the name uncultured bacterium. Its description in RNAcentral is "partial 16S ribosomal RNA". It matches the Rfam family "Bacterial small subunit ribosomal RNA", at positions 28 to 507 of the family's 1533-position model. The record is from RNAcentral.